CUCAUGCCAAUAAAAAGACCUGAAAAUCACCUAGCCCUCACAUUUCUAGCCAGAAGAAAGAGGGACAUGGAAAGACAGUCUCAUACAUGCAAUUGUGUGAAGAACAAGUUCAAAAUGAACAGGCUUUGGAAUGCCUUUUUUUAAGCGUCAUUAUUUUUCUAAGCCUCUAGACUGAGUUUCACCAGCACAAGAGGUAAAGAUUUUAUAUGUCAGUGUUUCCAAUCCACUUCAAAAUUUCUCAAAGCAAUGACAGUAUGUAAGCAUCAAUGGAGCUCUAUCGUUUGGAGAUCACAAGUCUGGACAUUUUACUAUCUUCUAGAUUCAUUUCAGCACUCCCAGAGUAUUGGAGGAAACAAAAUUGUAAAUAAACUGAAGAACCCCUGUGGUGACACCAUGCACCUUUACAGACAAGGAGGAGAGUUAUUCAACUGCCACUGAACAACUCUGGCUGCAACACAGCUGCUAAGAGUUCUUUAUGUUGAUAUUCAGCAUAGAGAACUUUGGGCUGCAGGAGGUCAUAGAAAAUAGGAUCAUUGCAGCAGAAAUAGUUGAAUCACUCCUGAAACUGUUUAUGCUCUUGUCUUAUUCCUCAUAUCUCCACCAACAGAUCUAUGUUUGGUCAUAAUCAGACUGGAUUAAGAGAAAAAUCAAUUUAAUAGUAAAACUUCAC
Pan troglodytes (chimpanzee) is the source of this 670-nucleotide long non-coding RNA. RefSeq lists it as uncharacterized. Lineage: Eukaryota; Metazoa; Chordata; Mammalia; Primates; Hominidae. The transcript is spliced from 4 exons. The record is from RefSeq and is a predicted model, not a curated record.